RNAcentral lists this ribosomal RNA (465 nucleotides) under uncultured bacterium. RNAcentral's name for it is "bacterial SSU rRNA". It matches the Rfam family "Bacterial small subunit ribosomal RNA", at positions 338 to 795 of the family's 1533-position model. The record is from RNAcentral.
CCUACGGGAGGCAGCAGUAGGGAAUCUUCGGCAAUGGACGAAAGUCUGACCGAGCAACGCCGCGUGAGUGAAGAAGGUUUUCGGAUCGUAAAACUCUGUUGGUAGGGAAGAACGUUGGUGAGAGUGGAAAGCUCAUCAAGUGACGGUAACUACCCAGAAAGGGACGGCUAACUACGUGCCAGCAGCCGCGAUAAUACGUAGGUCCCGAGCGUUGCCCGGAUUUAUUGGGCGUAAAGCGAGCGCAGGUGGUUUAUUAAGUCUGGUGUAAAAGGCAGUGGCUCAACCAUUGUAUGCAUUGGAAACUGGUAGACUUGAGUGCAGGAGAGGAGAGUGGAAUUCCAUGUGUAGCGGUGAAAUGCGUAGAUAUAUGGAGGAACACCGGUGGCGAAAGCGGCUCUCUGGCCUGUAACUGACACUGAGGCUCGAAAGCGUGGGGAGCAAGCAGGAUUAGAUACCCCUGUAGUC